GCAACCAGGCUGGGCCGGCCGGAGCCCGCGGGAGGCUGCAUCGGCCAGGCCCGGCCCCGCUCCCGAGCCCGAGCCAGCUUCUCCCCGGGGCUCUGUCCCCGCAGUGCUGGGCCGCGCCCCAUGGCCAGCGCCCCGUGGAGGGGCACCCCCAGGGCGCGGUGACUGAACGCGAGGGAGCUGCCAGGAGCACGAGCACUGUCCUUGGGCACUGGACUAUUAGCGUGGCCCAGCAGCACUCGGCCAGGCCUCCCUCCUACCAGAUCUGCACGGCCUGGGCUUGCACGGUGACACGCUGCCCUGGCCGGACGGAGCCGCACGCUUUCUAGGGACCGAGAUGGAGGGAGAAAAGCCCAAUUGUCAUUUGGAAAGGCUUGUGGCUUUAUAUGGGAACAAUGAGGGAGCACAGAACCCUACAAAUGUACAGGUGUUGCACCAGAAGCAAACUGAGGAAGCCCUGCAGUUUGUGCCUAGAGCCCAGCGGAGCACGCCAAGAGGUUAUGCGACUGACUGUCCACUGAUCCUCUGGAAACUCACUUAGCUGCGAGAGUCACACCAGGACCAUGCUGCGAGGAGAGCCCUGCGGAGUCUGAGCUGCCAUGGCUGAGCCACUGCUGUAGAACAGAGUCUGUGAGUGGCAGACGUCACUGCGGGUCUGCGCGGGGCAAAUAUCCUGCGCAUUGAGAGCGCUACGUGGAUGUGGGCGUUUUCUUUAGGAAAAACUGGAAAUUCCAGAUUAGAGCAACACCUAACCCCUCCCCUCCCCUGGCCCCCCAAAACCCACCACACCCACUUUUCAAAGCACAGAAAUGCCAAGGCAGGGUGCCUUGGGUGACCCCCUAACUUCCUGGCAUGAGCCAGCAACUCACAACCAGCCUCAUUCCCCAAACACAAGCCAGCUGCGGAUUCCCACUGCCGCAGCACGACUCUGGCCCAUGAGGCCCUAGAGACCCAGGCCUUUGCAAGCUCCAGAACCAUCUCUCCUCAAAGAAAUAACGCGCGCCAACUGGCACCCAGCUAGCGGGUCUCUGGGCAAGGCGGGGGUCCCGUGAUCGUGACUCGUCAGACAGACAGACAUCUCUAAAUGCUCCCACGUGCGAGACUCCACCCAAACAGCACAGGAACACGGGCUUCUCCACAUUGCAGGGCACCCUGAGGCCAGGUCAGCAGCAGAGAUCAAGUGUUUGAGUCCAGCCAGCCAAGGGGCAAAACCGCAGUUUUAGGAAACUCCUUUAUUGGAAAAGUCAGAACCCCACUUUUCUAGAGCCCAGCUAGCUCAGCUGCACUGGGCUGCUUUUCCUUCCCACCCUAGCCAGCCCCGGUGGCCCAGUCACAUCCUGGCUGAAUUAGGGGCACGCCCCAUAUUGGCUUUUUCACAACAGGUGAUUCCGCCUUAAUCACAGCGCCGCUCCCACAGCCGCCAAGCACUGCCCAGAGCAGCCCACCAGCGCCAUGCACCUGCAGGAAGAGCCCUCACCCUGCCUGACCAUCACUGCUGCAUUCCUGCACCAGGGGUCAUUCGAUUCCCCUAAACUCUCUUCCAUUUCAAACAAAACUCCUUCGCCCCCAUUGCAUUAGCUGGCUCUGGGCUUCCAGCCCAAUCAGUU
This is a long non-coding RNA of Mauremys reevesii (Reeves's turtle), 1604 nucleotides long. RefSeq lists it as uncharacterized. The transcript is spliced from 3 exons. NCBI's taxonomy places the organism in Eukaryota, Metazoa, Chordata, Testudines, Geoemydidae. The record is from RefSeq and is a predicted model, not a curated record.